CCUACGGGAUGCAGCAGUGGGGAAUAUUGGACAAUGGGCGAAAGCCUGAUCCAGCCAUGCCGCGUGUGUGAAGAAGGCCUUCGGGUUGUAAAGCACUUUCAGUGGGGAAGAAAGCCUUGGGGCUAAUACCCUCGAGGAAGGACAUCACCCACAGAAGAAGCACCGGCUAACUCCGUGCCAGCAGCCGCGGUAAUACGGAGGGUGCGAGCGUUAAUCGGAAUUACUGGGCGUAAAGCGCGCGUAGGCGGUCUGAUAAGCCGGUUGUGAAAGCCCUGGGCUCAACCUGGGAACGGCAUCCGGAACUGUCAGGCUAGAGUGCAGGAGAGGAAGGUAGAAUUCCCGGUGUAGCGGUGAAAUGCGUAGAGAUCGGGAGGAAUACCAGUGGCGAAGGCGGCCUUCUGGACUGACACUGACGCUGAGGUGCGAAAGCGUGGGUAGCAAACAGGAUUAGAUACCCCAGUAGUC
Molecule: ribosomal RNA, 465 nt
Filed under: Vreelandella stevensii
Lineage: Bacteria; Pseudomonadati; Pseudomonadota; Gammaproteobacteria; Oceanospirillales; Halomonadaceae
Description: partial 16S ribosomal RNA
Rfam family: Bacterial small subunit ribosomal RNA
Source: RNAcentral